CAGGACACAUGAACAUCGACAUUUUGAACGCAUAUUGCGGUCCAUACUGACUAGUUUCUUAACCGAAGCUGUAUGGACCACACAUGGUUGAGGGUCGUUAGUUUAUGCUAACUGAAUUGCCUUUUCAUUAAGGCUACAUCGUGAGGUGUUGUCAAUCUUAAGUGUGUUGACAUCCCUUGAAAAUACCUUUGGUACACAAUUUUUUAUUUAUUGUGAAUGCUUGUUUUGAUCGAAGGAAACUAAUGAUGUUUGUAGAACUUUGAAUAAGCGUUUAAACAUAAUAGUUUACGCAUUUGAACGCAUAUCGAACGCAUCAUCAAGUUUUGGGUAAAUAUUUCUAAAGUUAGUAAAGAAUUUGAACGCCAACAUCGAACGCCAUUUAUUUGGCUUGUAGAAACAUUUGAAUAUACAGCUAGAGCGCUUUAGAAAUUAUUGAAAGUACCACUUCGGUUGAUGACGAUCCCAUACAUUUGAACGCGGGUGGCAUUGACAUUGUAUAAAUUUAAAAUUUGAUUAAAAACCA
This 523-nucleotide ribosomal RNA is filed under the name Dziedzickia marginata. RNAcentral's name for it is "eukaryotic LSU rRNA". The record is from RNAcentral. Lineage: Eukaryota; Metazoa; Arthropoda; Insecta; Diptera; Mycetophilidae.